UCAGUGUAGAGUAUCUUCGUGCCUGCCACACGAUAUACACAUGCAAAAUGGUCAUUGGCAGAGGAAGCUCUCAGUUAAUAACUGUGGAAGUGCUCAUAGAACACUAAGCUGAGAAGCAGGCUUUGUCCCAGUGAGGACGUUACGCCAAGAAGAGGAGAGGAGGAGAGAACAUGUUAUUAGUAAUGGCUACUAUGUUUUCCUUGCAAUUACCAUGGUUUGACGAUCAAGCGCAUAGUAAUCAAUACUAUGUGGUUAUCUUGAUAACGCUGUUCGUGAUUGUCAGAACCAUGCAAUGACAAAAAAUGAUCACACAUUUUGUUGUGUUUACUACAUUAUAGUUGAUAUUGCCAUGACUUAGUGACACGACACAUGGUAAUCUUAACUACAUGUUUUAGUCAAAAUAUCCUCAACACAUCAUCACGCGCCGCAAGUCUUGACUUGUUUUUUGAUUGAACUGCAAGGUUUACUAGCUAAAACCGAGAAUAGAAUCAUAGACCAAUUUUAUGGAACUGUGAAAAAUCAUGAUGAACCCAAAUGUUCCCAUCAGUAUUUCGGAUACCACUUUCCGAGGCGAAAUCUAGGUACUUCAAAAUUGACCGAAUCUCCGCUUCCACCGGUGGCAACCGAAGCUAUUCGCCAGUAUGAAUGAUCCCCUCUUUUCAUUUCAUACGCAAUGGUAUACCAUAAAGCAGAUCCAGAAGCAUGUAAUCCGCCAAAGCAUAAAGCUCCUGCAGUGGUUCCUGCCCAGAGAGAGUUCUGCAGGGAGGAUGUUCUCGCACAUGCACAUAAUUGCUUGGCCAGCUAGGAAGAUACCCUUGGAACCCCCUUAUACAAGCGGUUUACCCGUCUAUUUUUUCCCCUCGGAAAACCUUCUUUCGCCUGUACUGUAUCCAGCACAAGAUCCCGAACAACGUCGCUCAACAGACAGCCUUCCCGCAGAACUACUGUCUGAAUCCGGACAUAAUUCUGAGGUCGGCGUCGGUGGUGUAGUGGUAAGCGUGGUUGCCUCUCACCCCAGUCGGUCGGGGUUCAAUUCCCGUCGACGCCGAUGGGAUUUUCUGAGACAUAAAAUCCGUGAUCACGUCUUCCCUCGGAUAGGAAGUAAAGCCGUACGUCCCGGUUGAUGGGUUCGAUAUGUAGGGUCCUCAGGUGUGGUGGGUGUCUCCCUGGGGCGUCGGAAUUUAAGGCUUAGCUCCUAGACCCAGCCGACGUAAAACACAACUGGCGCCGAACGGUGCUACUUGGCCAGAAAAAAGAAGAAGAAGAAGAAGAAGAAGGACAUAAUUCUGCAGCUGGAUCCUCAUAAAACACGCCUUUUCCCAUCUUCACAUCUGUGGCAAUCUCCGCCUCGACCGUAUGCCCAAAAUAAGGUGUCUAAGUUUGUUAUUAUAUAAGUAUAUGAAUGUUAAUAUUUGAAAUCAAUAAAUUCAAUUAAAUUCG
This is a long non-coding RNA of Aedes albopictus (Asian tiger mosquito), 1440 nucleotides long. RefSeq lists it as uncharacterized. The record is from RefSeq and is a predicted model, not a curated record. The transcript has 2 exons. NCBI's taxonomy places the organism in Eukaryota, Metazoa, Arthropoda, Insecta, Diptera, Culicidae.